This 233-nucleotide non-coding RNA is filed under the name uncultured Actinobacillus sp. Its description in RNAcentral is "Aggregatibacter sRNA JA03". The stretch from base 84 to 178 matches the Rfam family "Aggregatibacter sRNA JA03", at positions 86 to 180 of the family's 274-position model. Lineage: Bacteria; Pseudomonadati; Pseudomonadota; Gammaproteobacteria; Pasteurellales; Pasteurellaceae. The record is from RNAcentral.
UUACAUUUCUAAGUUUGCGUUAAUAUUUUGUGUAUUUUUACUGUGACAAGGUCUUAAAUCUCUAGAUUUUAUCCAUCUAUAAUAGUAUUUGUUACCUGUGCAUAACUUUGUGAUUUUAUUACACCGUAGUUUUUACUAACCUGAUAACUAGUUUCGCAUAAUGUAUAUUAUGUUAAAUGUAAUAAAUAAAUUGUCACAAAAGUAAAAUAACAAAUAGCCAAUAUUGCUCUCUC